UAACGCGAAGAACCUUACCAGGUCUUGACAUCUUCUGAUAGCCUAAGAGAUUAGGUGUUCCCUUCGGGGACAGAAUGACAGGUGGUGCAUGGUUGUCGUCAGCUCGUGUCGUGAGAUGUUGGGUUAAGUCCCGCAACGAGCGCAACCCUUAUUGUCAGUUGCCAGCAUUAAGUUGGGCACUCUGGCAAGACUGCCGGUGACAAACCGGAGGAAGGUGGGGAUGACGUCAAAUCAUCAUGCCCCUUAUGACCUGGGUUACACACGUGCUACAAUGGACGAUACAACGAGUCGCUAGACCGCGAGGUUAAGCUAAUCUCUGAAAGUCGUUCUCAGUUCGGAUUGCAGGCUGCAACUCGCCUGCAUGAAGUCGGAAUCGCUAGUAAUCGCGGAUCAGC
This 395-nucleotide ribosomal RNA is filed under the name uncultured bacterium. RNAcentral describes it as "bacterial SSU rRNA". It matches the Rfam family "Bacterial small subunit ribosomal RNA", at positions 957 to 1353 of the family's 1533-position model. The record is from RNAcentral.